GGCACCAAUCACUAGAAAAAUCGAUAUAGGAUUUUAAUAAUUAGUGAUGAACC
This 53-nucleotide small nuclear RNA is filed under the name Staphylococcus aureus. RNAcentral describes it as "SAUSA300s303". The record is from RNAcentral. Lineage: Bacteria; Bacillati; Bacillota; Bacilli; Caryophanales; Staphylococcaceae. RNAcentral also lists the same sequence under 1 other name.